AAAGCCAUCAGCUAAAAAUAAAACUGCAACUAUCAAAGUGAAUUUGUAGAAAAUGAGUGAUAGCUCAGAGUGCUUAGUGUUUAUUUAAUUACUUAUUUCAAUUGUAUUUACAAAAUAAGUUGUGAUUUUGUUUCGUUUGUUUGUUUGCCCAUUAAAUCUCGUCGCGGAACUGGUUUGCAUUUUGUAUCUUUAAUCGCUGCAGCUCGUUUCUGUGUGGAUAAAAGUGAAUGAAACCCUAACGUUUAAACGCCGCCAUAAACACCAAAUAACAAAUUUUCUGGCAAACAUGGCAUGUCACGGUCCCAUUAAACGUAGAAAAUCAGCCCAGAAAUUCAACACGACGACAACUUUUCGACUGUCCCAGAAAGCAAAUAUGUAUAGUGUACUUGUGUUUCUUAACGCUGAGGAGUGGACCAUGACUAAUACUCAGUCAACUGGAUAAGCUGGACCAAGGACAUCCAUUGAUGGCGGAAUAUAAAGACACGUCUUAUGUGACAAGUGCUGGCUAAACGUCUGAGGUUAUCGCAAUCAUUUUCGAUUCUCGGGCCCCAUCCCUGUUGAAAAAUCAGCCGGACAGCAGCAACCACCGAACAGUACACAGGACGACCGGAAGUGAGGAAAACGCUUGUAAAAUCAGUCGCACACGAGUGCGAGCGAGACACGAGCGAACGGGCCGAAAGGAAACGACAAUUACGAGGACAUGCCGGCUUGCUUUUCUGCUUUUCCUGUCUGCUCCUUUCAGUUGCGGCCGUGCAAUCGUCGGGUCAACAACGCCGCGUGUCCGAUUUCGAUCUACAAAUUAUAAUACAAAUUUUCACAUCUGGAUUUGGUUUCAUCUUUAUCCGCAUCUCGAUCCGCGACGACGCGUAAUUUUCAGCACUUUUGGACUAAGGCGAUUCUGUGCGACCUCGUAAACGUAUACUGAAUGUAUCCUGAGUGUAUCCUAUCCGGUAUACCUUCAGUAUACGUAACACGAGAAAGCACAAGCAACGUGGGAUGUGAAACACUUUUUAAGACUGCUUAAUACACGUAGCACUUUGUUAUUUGGUAUCACACUUUCUUAUAAAUACACAAUUUAAACAUAUAUAUUUCAA
Long non-coding RNA from Drosophila santomea, 1094 nucleotides. RefSeq lists it as uncharacterized. The transcript is spliced from 4 exons. Lineage: Eukaryota; Metazoa; Arthropoda; Insecta; Diptera; Drosophilidae. The record is from RefSeq and is a predicted model, not a curated record.